Molecule: non-coding RNA, 893 nt
Filed under: Prionobutis microps (small-eyed loter)
Lineage: Eukaryota; Metazoa; Chordata; Actinopteri; Gobiiformes; Eleotridae
Description: partial 12S rRNA
Rfam family: Bacterial small subunit ribosomal RNA
Source: RNAcentral
AUCCCCGUGAGAAUGCCCUAUCGUACCCUUAUGGGAACAAGGAGCCGGUAUCAGGCACAGCCCCCGCUAGCCCACAACACCUUGCUUAGCCACACCCCCAAGGGAUUUCAGCAGUAAUAAACAUUAAGCCAUAAGUGCAAACUUGACUUAGUUAAGACCAAGAGGGCCGGUAAAACUCGUGCCAGCCACCGCGGUUAUACGAGAGGCCCAAGUUGAUAGCCAGCGGCGUAAAGAGUGGUUAAUAUGUAUAUACACAAUUACUAAAGCCGAACACCUUCAAAACUGUUAUACGUACUCGAAGGCUGGAAGUCCCCCCACGAAAGUGGCUUUAAAAUACUAUGACCCCACGAAAGCCAGGACCCAAACUGGGAUUAGAUACCCCACUAUGCCUGGCCCUAAACAUAAACAGUGCCACCACACCCACUGCUCGCCAGGGGACUACAAGCGCAAGCUUAAAACCCAAAGGACUUGGCGGUGCUUUAGUCCCACCUAGAGGAGCCUGUUCUAGAACCGAUAAUCCCCGUUCCACCUCACCCUCCCUUGCUUAUUCCGCCUAUAUACCGCCGUCGUCAGCUUACCCUGUGAAGGACCUAUCGUAAGCAAAAUUGGCACAGCCUAAAACGUCAGGUCGAGGUGUAGCGCAUGAGAGGGAAAGAAAUGGGCUACAUUCACUGAAACAGUGAACCACGGAAGAUGAACUGAAAACACAUCCAAAGGAGGAUUUAGCAGUAAGAAGGAAAUAGAGUGUCCCUCUGAAAUUGGCCCUGAAGCGCGCACACACCGCCCGUCACUCUCCCCACGCCACACAACCUUUAAUAACUAAACAAGAAGUACGGCAAAGAGGAGGCAAGUCGUAACAUGGUAAGUGUACCGGAAGGUGCACUUGGAAAAAU